This 492-nucleotide ribosomal RNA is filed under the name uncultured bacterium. Its description in RNAcentral is "partial 16S ribosomal RNA". It matches the Rfam family "Bacterial small subunit ribosomal RNA", at positions 29 to 507 of the family's 1533-position model. The record is from RNAcentral.
AGUGAACGCUGGCGGUAGGCUUAACACAUGCAAGUCGAACGGCAGCACAGUAAGAGGUUGCUCUUACGGUUGCCGAGUGGCGGACAGGAGAGGAAUAACUCGGAAUCUACUUUUUCGUGAGGGCUAACGAAGGGAGACUUUCGCUAAUACCGCAUACGACCUCCGGGUGGAAGCAGGGGAUCUUCGGACCUUGCGCGAUUGAAUGAGCCGAUGUCGGAUUCGCUAGUUGGCGGGGUAUAGGCCUACUUAGGCGAUGAUCCGUAGCUGGUCUGAGAGGGUGAUCAGCCACACUGGAACUGAGACACGGUCCAGACGCCGACGGGAGGCAGCAGUGGGGAAGAUUGGACAAUGGGCGCAAGCCUGAUCCAGCCAUGCCGCGUGGGUGAAGAAGGCCUUCGGGUUGUAAAACCCUUUUGUUGUGGAAGAAAAGCAGCGGUUUUAAACACCGAUGUUCUGACGGUACCCAAUGAAUAAGCACCGGCUAACUACGUG